GUCUUGGUAGCUCAGAUGGCAGAGCACUGAAUUAUUGAUCCAGAUUUUGUGGGUUCAAGUCCCACCCAAGACA
Molecule: non-coding RNA, 73 nt
Organism: Cydia pomonella (codling moth)
Lineage: Eukaryota; Metazoa; Arthropoda; Insecta; Lepidoptera; Tortricidae
Source: the annotation of a RefSeq genome assembly